AGAUUAAACUGAAGAGUUUGAUCCUGGCUCAGAUUGAACGCUAGCGGGAUGCUUUACACAUGCAAGUCGAACGGCAGCACGAGAGAGCUUGCUCUCUUGGUGGCGAGUGGCGGACGGGUGAGUAAUAUAUCGGAACGUGCCCAGUAGCGGGGGAUAACUACUCGAAAGAGUGGCUAAUACCGCAUACGCCCUACGGGGGAAAGGGGGGGAUCGCAAGACCUCUCACUAUUGGAGCGGCCGAUAUCGGAUUAGCUAGUUGGUGGGGUAAAGGCUCACCAAGGCAACGAUCCGUAGCUGGUUUGAGAGGACGACCAGCCACACUGGGACUGAGACACGGCCCAGACUCCUACGGGAGGCAGCAGUGGGGAAUUUUGGACAAUGGGGGAAACCCUGAUCCAGCCAUCCCGCGUGUAUGAUGAAGGCCUUCGGGUUGUAAAGUACUUUUGGCAGAGAAGAAAAGGCAUCCCCUAAUACGGGAUGCUGCUGACGGUAUCUGCAGAAUAAGCACCGGCUAACUACGUGCCAGCAGCCGCGGUAAUACGUAGGGUGCAAGCGUUAAUCGGAAUUACUGGGCGUAAAGCGUGUGUAGGCGGUUCGGAAAGAAAGAUGUGAAAUCCCAGGGCUCAACCUUGGAACUGCAUUUUUAACUGCCGAGCUAGAGUAUGUCAGAGGGGGGUAGAAUUCCACGUGUAGCAGUGAAAUGCGUAGAUAUGUGGAGGAAUACCGAUGGCGAAGGCAGCCCCCUGGGAUAAUACUGACGCUCAGACACGAAAGCGUGGGGAGCAAACAGGAUUAGAUACCCUGGUAGUCCACGCCCUAAACGAUGUCAACUAGCUGUUGGGGCCGUUAGGCCUUAGUAGCGCAGCUAACGCGUGAAGUUGACCGCCUGGGGAGUACGGUCGCAAGAUUAAAACUCAAAGGAAUUGACGGGGACCCGCACAAGCGGUGGAUGAUGUGGAUUAAUUCGAUGCAACGCGAAAAACCUUACCUACCCUUGACAUGUCUGGAAAGCCGAAGAGAUUUGGCCGUGCUCGCAAGAGAACCGGAACACAGGUGCUGCAUGGCUGUCGUCAGCUCGUGUCGUGAGAUGUUGGGUUAAGUCCCGCAACGAGCGCAACCCUUGUCAUUAGUUGCUACGCAAGAGCACUCUAAUGAGACUGCCGGUGACAAACCGGAGGAAGGUGGGGAUGACGUCAAGUCCUCAUGGCCCUUAUGGGUAGGGCUUCACACGUCAUACAAUGGUCGGGACAGAGGGUCGCCAACCCGCGAGGGGGAGCCAAUCUCAGAAACCCGAUCGUAGUCCGGAUCGCAGUCUGCAACUCGACUGCGUGAAGUCGGAAUCGCUAGUAAUCGCGGAUCAGAAUGUCGCGGUGAAUACGUUCCCGGGUCUUGUACACACCGCCCGUCACACCAUGGGAGUGGGUUUCACCAGAAGUAGGUAGCCUAACCGCAAGGAGGGCGCUUACCACGGUGGGAUUCAUGACUGGGGUGAAGUCGUAACAAGGUAGCCGUAUCGGAAGGUGCGGCUGGAUCACCUCCUUU
Molecule: ribosomal RNA, 1542 nt
Filed under: Alcaligenes faecalis
Lineage: Bacteria; Pseudomonadati; Pseudomonadota; Betaproteobacteria; Burkholderiales; Alcaligenaceae
Description: bacterial SSU rRNA
Rfam family: Bacterial small subunit ribosomal RNA
Source: RNAcentral